RNAcentral lists this ribosomal RNA (636 nucleotides) under Uloma sp. UPOL ZL0016. RNAcentral's name for it is "eukaryotic LSU rRNA". It matches the Rfam family "Eukaryotic large subunit ribosomal RNA", at positions 670 to 1262 of the family's 3401-position model. Lineage: Eukaryota; Metazoa; Arthropoda; Insecta; Coleoptera; Tenebrionidae. The record is from RNAcentral.
GGAGUCUAGCAUGUGCGCGAGUCAUUGGGACAUGACUAAACCUAAAGGCGCAAUGAAAGUGAAAGUCCGCCUUGCGCGGACUCAGGGAGGAUGGGUGGUCGUUACGGCUGCCGCCCCGCACUCCCGGGGCGUCUCGUUCUCAUUGCGAGAAGAGGCGCACCAAGAGCGUACACGCUGGGACCCGAAAGAUGGUGAACUAUGCCUGGUCAGGACGAAGUCAGGGGAAACCCUGAUGGAGGUCCGUAGCGAUUCUGACGUGCAAAUCGAUCGUCGGAACUGGGUAUAGGGGCGAAAGACUAAUCGAACCAUCUAGUAGCUGGUUCCCUCCGAAGUUUCCCUCAGGAUAGCUGGCGCUCAUAGCGCACGAGUUUCAUCCGGUAAAGCGAAUGAUUAGAGGCAUUGGGGUCGAAACGGCCUCAACCUAUUCUCAAACUUUAAAUGGGUGAGAUCUCCGGCUUGCUCGAACUAUUGAAGCCGCGAGACUCGAAUCAGAGUGCCAAGUGGGCCAUUUUUGGUAAGCAGAACUGGCGCUGUGGGAUGAACCAAACGCCGAGUUAAAGCGCCUAAAUCGACGCUUAUGGGAUACCAUGAAAGGCGUUGGUAACUUAAGACAUCAGGACGGUGGCCAUGGAAGUC